This 200-nucleotide ribosomal RNA is filed under the name uncultured bacterium. Its description in RNAcentral is "partial 16S ribosomal RNA". It matches the Rfam family "Bacterial small subunit ribosomal RNA", at positions 28 to 239 of the family's 1533-position model. The record is from RNAcentral.
GACGAACGCUGGCGGCGUGCUUAACACAUGCAAGUCACGGGGGCCCGCAAGGGCAACCGGCGAACGGGUGCGUAACACGUGAGCAAUCUGCCAAUUUCUGGGGGAUAGCCGGCCCAACGGCCGGGUAAUACCGCAUACGCUCGCGGGGAGGGGUCUCCCUGCGAGGAAACCUCCGGGGGAAAUCGAGGAGCUCGCGGCCU